Gadus macrocephalus (Pacific cod) is the source of this 1134-nucleotide long non-coding RNA. RefSeq lists it as uncharacterized. NCBI's taxonomy places the organism in Eukaryota, Metazoa, Chordata, Actinopteri, Gadiformes, Gadidae. The record is from RefSeq and is a predicted model, not a curated record. The transcript is spliced from 2 exons.
GCGAUUGAUAAGACCACGGCUCGACAUCUUGGCAUAUUGGAUGACUUUUUGCUGGAGUGGAGAGAUAUAGAUUCUCGCGCAAAUCUUUAAUAUAUUUAAAUAGCCUUGCAUAGCCAACACUACCAAUCGAGGACCUGGCCUCAGUUCACUCCAGACUAUUUGCGUAGCCCUCCGUUUUUUUCAAAUGGUAGUUUUAUCUAGGCUAUAGGCCUAAUGCUGGAGAUGCUGAGCACAUCACAGUCGUUUCAGAUGACCCAUCCAAGAUUUGUAUCGGCCUCCUAUCAUACAAAGAGCAAUAUUGUCUGAGUACUAUGCCGAGAGGCAUUUACAACAUAAAGUAUAAAAUAGUCCUAACGGACUUGCAUCCACUGGAGAAUGUUCGAUCGUAGCCGGCGGCUUCAUUACAAGCACUGAUCCAUCUUGAUCUGUGAAGUUGAUGAAUUGUCACUUUUAGUGUGGGGUAUGGCCCAUGACUCUCUGAGGUGGUAGGUACCUCCAGGUAGGCUACCCCCUCCAUGCCAGGGCGCCCUGAAUUUAUGUUUAUCAACAGCUCCUCCACCGGGGUCAAGACAAUUUGAGGGCCGGAUCCAGUCUGCCAACUGUCGGCCUUUUCACGAUUGGCUUAAAAAAAUGGCUUAUUUAAAUUUAUACCAAUACGAUGGUGGGAAAAGCUUACCAGUUUGUAUGUUUUUUAUAGGCCUACUUCAUUUUUAUACUUGAUCCUCUGACCGCUUGGAAGCAAUCGGAGUACAUAUUGUUUUAGAAGAAAGGGGUUAUGUGGUAGGAUCUUUAAGAAUGCUUAACUGGGAUAUUUAUAUAUUCAUGGCUCAAAUAUUAAGGAUCAUGCUUUUGACGUGUAACUAACGCAUUUACGCGGUCAGCGAUCCGCUGCCAGGCUUUGGUUCUCCGGGUUCCAGAGGUUUUAGCGUUCCCUUUUCUUGUGAUAAUGUCCUUCUCCUCGUCAUAGCUCUCCAGGAGAACCUGGAGUUCCAUUUCAUUGAAAUAAGCGGCCCGUUUCGCCAUAUCGAUCAGGGUUUCCAUGAUCCAUACAUCACGUCUUUAUAAGUUUGGCGUGGACGCGCACAACCCUGUGUUAACCAACCCCGAGUUGAUUGAACUAAUGCAUAACCGCUG